GGGGUUUUCACAUGUGGUUGCCCCCAUCUACACCCUGGUCCGGAAGGAUGCCGUUUUCCAGUGGACACCGGCAGCACAAGAGGCCUUCGAGCUCCUGAAGGAGGCUUUUACCUCUGCCCCCAUCCUGGCCCAUCCAGACUCACAGCUCCCCUU
Molecule: small RNA, 153 nt
Filed under: Podarcis lilfordi (Lilford's wall lizard)
Lineage: Eukaryota; Metazoa; Chordata; Lepidosauria; Squamata; Lacertidae
Source: RNAcentral